UCCCUGGUGGUCCAGUGUUUAAGAUUCCGUGAUCCCAAUGCAGGGGUCCCAGGUUCGAUCCCUGGUCAGGGAA
Molecule: non-coding RNA, 73 nt
Organism: Bos taurus (domestic cattle)
Lineage: Eukaryota; Metazoa; Chordata; Mammalia; Artiodactyla; Bovidae
Source: Rfam